RNAcentral lists this ribosomal RNA (503 nucleotides) under uncultured organism. RNAcentral's name for it is "SSU rRNA". It matches the Rfam family "Bacterial small subunit ribosomal RNA", at positions 1 to 509 of the family's 1533-position model. The record is from RNAcentral.
CUAGAGUUUGAUCCUGGCUCAGGACGAACGCUGGCGGCGUGCCUAACACAUGCAAGUCGAACGAGAAUCAUUGGAACGGAGAUUCGUCGAAGGGAAGAUGAGGACAGUGGCGGACGGGUGAGUAACGCGUGAGCAACCUGCCCUUCGGAGGGGGACAACAGCUGGAAACGGCUGCUAAUACCGCAUGACAUAUUCGGGAGGCAUCUCUUGAAUAUCAAAGAUUUAUCGCCGAAGGAUGGGCUCGCGUCUGAUUAGCUGGUUGGUGGGGUAACGGCCUACCAAGGCGACGAUCAGUAGCCGGACUGAGAGGUUGAACGGCCACAUUGGGACUGAGAUACGGCCCAGACUCCUACGGGAGGCAGCAGUGGGGAAUAUUGGGCAAUGGGGGCAACCCUGACCCAGCAACGCCGCGUGAAGGAAGAAGGCUUUCGGGUUGUAAACUUCUUUGACGAGGGACGAAUGAUGACGGUACCUCGAAAACAAGCCACGGCUAACUACGUGCC